Molecule: long non-coding RNA, 437 nt
Filed under: Homo sapiens (human)
Lineage: Eukaryota; Metazoa; Chordata; Mammalia; Primates; Hominidae
Description: HSALNT0226658
Source: RNAcentral
GGGAGAGGCAGACAUUGCUGCCCACAGACCUGCCUCUGACUCAACUGUGUCCACCCUCCCUGGUCCCUACCCCCAAGUCACAGGUGACUCAGCAGUGACCCUGUGUGCCAGGCCAGAUCCAAACUGAGAGGGAAGGUGUCGUUUUUACACUGCUAAUGACGAGAGUGGCUCUUUUUAGCUAAGCGAGUACAGACGGGGCCUGGGAGGGGGCAGAGAUGUUCCCCAGGCCCUGCCUGUGGUUCCUGCCUGGGCCUUGGCUGCUGCUGUGUGAGAGCUGCAUGUGAGCCUGUGACCGUGAGCUGGGGUGAGCUGGGCCGCACCUACCCUGGGGCCCCAGGGAGCAGGACGCUCCGGGGCCCAGCACGUUGCCCUGGGCCUGUGGCCGGAGUCGGAGUCCUCUCUCCUCCUCCUGGCUUUUGGAAAGGCUUGGCUGUGUU